RNAcentral lists this ribosomal RNA (404 nucleotides) under uncultured bacterium. RNAcentral's name for it is "bacterial SSU rRNA". It matches the Rfam family "Bacterial small subunit ribosomal RNA", at positions 969 to 1393 of the family's 1533-position model. The record is from RNAcentral.
CCUUACCAACACUUGACAUGUUCGUCGCGACUCUAAGAGAUUAGAGUUUUCGGUUCGGCCGGACGAAACACAGGUGCUGCAUGGCUGUCGUCAGCUCGUGUCGUGAGAUGUUGGGUUAAGUCCCGCAACGAGCGCAACCCUUGUCCUUAUUUGCCAUCAUUUAGUUGGGCACUCUAGGGAAACUGCCCGUGAUAAGCGGGAGGAAGGUGUGGAUGACGUCAAGUCCUCAUGGCCCUUACGGGUUGGGCUACACACGUGCUACAAUGGCAGUGACAAUGGGUUAAUCCCAAAAAACUGUCUCAGUUCGGAUUGGGGUCUGCAACUCGACCCCAUGAAGUCGGAAUCGCUAGUAAUCGCGUAACAGCAUGACGCGGUGAAUACGUUCCCGGGUCUGUACACACCGA